RNAcentral lists this unclassified non-coding RNA (3713 nucleotides) under Leishmania donovani. Its description in RNAcentral is "gene:LdHU3.12.1710(CDS-product:Vacuolar_sorting_p rotein_39_domain_1/Vacuolar_sorting_protein_39_domain_2_put ative)". The record is from RNAcentral. Lineage: Eukaryota; Euglenozoa; Kinetoplastea; Trypanosomatida; Trypanosomatidae.
UACUUGACCGCUUUUUCCCGUCGUCUCUGUUGAAGGGGGCCAAUCCAAGCACGUGGCAGUCGCCUGCUGAAAGCACGUGAACACAUGUGACGGACUCUCCCUCGCUGUUUUCCCCUACCCGAGGAUUUCUUGACUUCACUGCUGCCGCAAAAAGAAUGCAGGCAGAGGAAUCCGGCCACGCGUCGCUGCGGAUAGAAGCGUAUCGGGUUGUUUCUCUGGGGGGCCCCAUCCCACACAAGAUCGAGUCCAUCACCACAUACCGCACGCUCGUGUUUGUGGGUACCAGUGACAGCAAGUUGCUUGCGUACCGCGUCGGAGCUUGUGACGGCAGCGCCGCAUCGCUGACCCUACUGCAGGAAAUCACGGAUAGCCGGCGCCAUGCCGUGCGACAGCUAACCGUCAUCGGUGGGCGUCGCCUACUAGUGCUCGUCGGCGACGUCAUUACUGUCUACCACAUCCACGACGAUGCCGCUUCCUCUGGGAGAGGGUUUCAGCUGCGAGACGUCACAACGAUCACAGGGCUGAAGGACACCGUCGCGUUUCACGUGAAGCAGCACCGGGGUGUCGUCUCCAUGGCGGUGCUUCAGCGCAAGCGUGUCACCUUCUUCGAGGCGUCGCACACAAAUCUCGAUUUUCUGCUAAGUGCCACAGUCGUGCUGCCUGACGGGGUCAAAACUCUGAGCUGGAUGGGGCGCAGCAUCGUACUUGGUGGGCGCAAGGAGUACUUGCUCUGCAACCCCUCCACUGCCUCCACAGCGGCCCUCUAUCCAACACCGCGAUCUGGCGCGGCGCCGCUUGUGCUGCCCAUGACACCGGUGCCGGAGGUCCUCGUCGCCAGCGACGGAGCGGGCUUGCGUGCACUCCUCUACGACGGCAGCGAGGUGCCCGGCGACUCGCGCGUGCUGUGGGCAACGCCACCGGCGGAGAUGCGCUACGAACACCCGUACGUCGUUUCUUACCAUCCGUCAGCGCCGCACCAGGCCUUGCAGGUCCGUCUUCCUCUGCUCACCACGUUGGAGGACGCCACUACCUACCCGCGGAGCUGCCUGUACCAGACCAUUGACCUCCCAAAGGUGGUGAAGGUGGCGCAGUGCCACUGGAUCGACUACGACUCCGCCAUGCCCUCCAAGACCGCGCCUCCCGAUGUGCUUUCUCACUCCCCUAUCGUCGUGGCCGACGCUGACCAUCGCCUCUACUUUCUCGCGCGAACUUCAGUGACAGGCCAGGCGGAGGCCCUCGCCGCCGCAAAGCUGUUUGCCGCCGCCGAUCUACUGUGCCGCCUCUGCCCGCACGAAGUGGCGCCGAUGACGCUGCGACAAAUUGUGAUCUCCGGGGCACUGCACAAGUUCAUCCGCCACCAGGACUACGUCGGCUGCUUCCACGACCUCAGCUCCGUCGAGUCCGACCCCCGCGUGGCAAUCCAGCUCUUUCCAGGGUUUCUGCGCCCUGACGAAGCUACACCGAGUUGCCCCGCACUCCCUCUCGCGGCACCUGCCGCCGUCGUGGCGGCUGCGCUCCCAGCGUUGGUGGAGUACCUGCAGUCGCAGCGGGCCGCGUUGGUGCUCUUGAGCGGCUGUGAGCCCGCUGAGUCGGUGCAAUCGCAGCUCAAAGCUGUGGACAGGGCACUUGUGAUGUCUUUUUGUGCCACGGAAAGGGAGGAAGCACUGCUGGAACUACUGCGUGGCAAGAAUGCCUGCGACGCAGCAGACGUAGCAGCUAUCCUUCGCGAGCGCCGGCAGUGGGUGGCCCUCACGUUGUUGCUGGAGGCACACGGCCAAUACGAGGAGGCAGCAUCGCAGCUGCGCGACCUCGCGAGCACGCGCGAUGCGGAGACCGAGGCACUGCAGGCACAGAGCGGAGCGCUUAAAGAGUUGUUUCAGCGACACCCGUUCUCUGCAGCGAGGCUGGACGCCUACGCUCCACAAUGCACUAUACGGGAAUGGCUCACGUCUCGCUCAUCUGCGCAUCUCCUCUCGGCCGCCGACAGCACGGCGAUGUGCACGGUCGCGACGGCAAUGAUGACCGCGCUGAGCUUUUUUCGGCGUCGGCCGCUGGCUCAAUUUUAUUCGCUGUUUGAGAAACACUCGUCCUGGGUGCUUGGCACGGUGCCGGCUGACAGUGCGGUGCGCAUCUUUUUCUCCGAAGCAAAUGCACCUCACUACACUGCGGCGCUGCAGGUGCUCCAAACCUACACUGAGAACCCCAGCACCACGCCGCGGCUGAUGCUGGUGGUCGAGUACCUUUUCCAACUUUUCGCAGAUGCGCGCGUGCAUGUGACGGAGCCUGCCGUGUAUGAGCGUUAUUGGCGGGGGCUCGGUGAGCUACUCUUCGCCUCUCCAGUGAAAACCGUCACGAGCGUGGAAGAACGUCAGCGCCUGCGCGACCGCCUCCGCGAGUUCCUGCUCAAUUCACCGCACGUGAACCUAGAGUCCGCGGAGGCCUACUUCGAUGCGGCAGACAUACGGUCCGCAUGUCUGCCCGAGCGGGCUGCCGUGCACCGACGCAAGGGUAGCCACCGCGCGGCCAUUACGAUGUUUCUGAACGAGUCUGAACGCCUGGAUGACGCGACCGCCUACGCUAGAAGCGUCUAUGCUGACGGCAGCAGCGAUGCCUACACAGCACUUCUCGAGGCGCUGCUGAGACCGGCUGCGGGGACUCCGCGGGUGACGGAGGCGCUCGAGGUCAUGAACACGUGUGACGGCGUAGACGCUGCCGCCGUGCUGCCAAUGCUGCCAGAUGAAAUGCCGUUUGCGCAGGUGAGCAGUUUUCUGCUGCACGCGCUACGCGCCAACACGACGGCGUACCGCGCUUCAGCCGUGUACAGUGCUAUCUUGAAAGCGAGGACACUACAGGGCCAGGAGAGCCGCGUUCACCUUUCCUCACGUGCAGUCGUGCUCGAGGAAGGGAUGGUGUGCCCGGUGUGCCAGCGCAGGUUGCGUCCGGAUACGGUGCUCGCGGUGUAUCCCGACAAUGUCGUACUGCAUCAUGGAUGCGCAUGCGACGAGCACGUGUGCUCAGCAACUCUACGCGACUACCGUCACGAUGCGUAUGCAGCUCUCGAGGAUUUGUAGAGAAAGCGGCAGGCCCUUCCGAUGAACGUCUUAGUGAAGAGUGAGAGAGGGAGUGCAAGGACCCAGUGAGAGGCGAGAAAGGGACGCACGUGAAAGUUCUACUGUCCCCCCUCUUGUAUACCGAUGACUGGCCACCCGCGAAACGAGUUGGCGCGUGGCAGGAGCAAACCGGGCGGCGAUGGGUGCAAAGCUGCCAUGCUCCUAUGGCCCUGCGAGCUGCUCCUGCCAUGAGCAGCAUGUCGGUUUAUUGGCUGACGCGUUUCGUGUAUGUGAUUCUCCUUCCUCGCUCUCUGCGGCCUCCUCACCGGUGUGUUAAAGCCGCACAGGGAUCGCAGCAUAGGAUUCCAUCAGGACCGGUGCGCUGGAUAUCAGGGUUAGCCACGGCAUGGGCUGCUUUCUCUCUUCUCCCCGUAGUGGCCACAUCGACGCGAAGGAACGUGUCUUGAGAAAGUUGUUGCGUUUCCAUGCCCACUGAGGCCUCUCGCGUGGGUAGCCUGUGUGUGUGGCUGAGCGCCAACUGACACAGCGGCACACAAGCACGGGAGGAAGGUGUCUGCGUGCCCCCGUCUCCUCGCAUGCCUUUCUCGGCUUCCCUCUUUCCGGUGCUCAUUUUUUUUAGCUGCGCAGCUCUCUCUUUCUCUC